This 430-nucleotide ribosomal RNA is filed under the name uncultured bacterium. RNAcentral describes it as "bacterial SSU rRNA". It matches the Rfam family "Bacterial small subunit ribosomal RNA", at positions 340 to 786 of the family's 1533-position model. The record is from RNAcentral.
UACGGGAGGCAGCAGUGGGGAAUCUUGCGCAAUGGGCGAAAGCCUGACGCAGCCAUGCCGCGUGAAUGAUGAAGGUCUUAGGAUUGUAAAAUUCUUUCACCGGGGACGAUAAUGACGGUACCCGGAGAAGAAGCCCCGGCUAACUUCGUGCCAGCAGCCGCGGUAAUACGAAGGGGGCUAGCGUUGCUCGGAAUUACUGGGCGUAAAGGGCGCGUAGGCGGAUCGUUAAGUCAGAGGUGAAAUCCCAGGGCUCAACCCUGGAACUGCCUUUGAUACUGGCGAUCUUGAGUAUGAGAGAGGUAUGUGGAACUCCGAGUGUAGAGGUGAAAUUCGUAGAUAUUCAGAAGAACACCAGUGGCGAAGGCGACAUACUGGCUCAUUACUGACGCUGAGGCGCGAAAGCGUGGGGAGCAAACAGGGAUUAGAUACC